Molecule: small RNA, 149 nt
Filed under: Salmonella enterica subsp. enterica serovar Muenchen
Lineage: Bacteria; Pseudomonadati; Pseudomonadota; Gammaproteobacteria; Enterobacterales; Enterobacteriaceae
Description: RtT sRNA
Rfam family: RtT RNA
About the family: This family represents a bacterial cis-regulatory element known as RtT RNA.
Source: RNAcentral
AUAUCUCUCUGUACGGGAAGGAUGAGAAGCUUCGACUAAGGUUCGAUUCGAGCGCAGCGAGAAAGCGUUGCCGCAGGCAACGACCCGAAGGGCGAAGCGCGCAGCGCUGGCGAAGCGCGCAGCGCUGAGUAAUCCUUCCCCCACCACCA